Numida meleagris (helmeted guineafowl) is the source of this 2138-nucleotide long non-coding RNA. RefSeq lists it as uncharacterized. Lineage: Eukaryota; Metazoa; Chordata; Aves; Galliformes; Numididae. The transcript is spliced from 3 exons. The record is from RefSeq and is a predicted model, not a curated record.
CUCGCGGACCCUGCGCAGGCGCCCGCCGGAGCCGUUGCCCCGAUCGGAGCGCGGGGCGAAGCUCCCCGGGCGGAGGUGGGCCGUCCCACGGGGGUGCCGUGCCCGCACCCACCGCCUGCCUCGGGAAGGGGCGGCUGCAGAGCGCCUCCCGGCGCCGGCGCGCGGCCCCGCGGGCAGUUGGUCACGGCAGGAGCUUGUCCUGGGGGGCGAACAGCUGUCCGGGUGCGCACUGAGGAGCCCGGCACCGGUCUCAGUCCCUGCUGUGUCAGUGCGCUUUAAGGGUUUUGUGCCUUUCGCGAGUUGUUGUUUGUUUUUGUUUUUUUUUGGUUUUUUUUUUGGUUUUUUUUUGGUUUUUUUGGGUUUUUUUUGUAUUUUUGUUUUUUUUUUUUUCCCAGUCACAGCUAUCACCCUUAGAGCACACGCUGUACGAAAUCAACCGACUCCAUACCACAGCGGUGAUCGGUGUCCUGUCGGGAUGGGACGCAGCUCUGUCAGCCUGCUCGCGAAUGGGUACGCGUCACAGCCAACACGCCUCCCUUGGCCUGGGAGGUUCGGAACACUUGGUUUCACCUUGAGAACCAUCGGGCUUUACCGGCUAUAAGUACCCUUCUGGACGCAAUAAUAAAAGGAAGAGCUUUACAGAGGACACAGCACGCAGUCAAGGAGACCGGCAUUGCCAAGCCACCCAGCUCCACACCCUCCUUGUAACAGAGCACAUACUGUAGCAAAGCACAAGUCUUUCCACACACGGAGCCGACCAAACAAUCAACAAAGCACACACUGGGAUGCUGUUUAGUUGCUGGAUCUACUGUCCCUUUACGCUGAGAAAUCCCACCUUUCAUCCAUAGCAGGAGCAGAUCUUCAGUGAACCCCUGGCAGCAACACAGGACCCGUUGAGCCCAGCAAGAGACGUUUCAUAUCUCUACCUGUGGCAAAGCAACAAAUGUUUCCUUCAGCCCUAUGCCACUUUGUACAAGAGUUACAUUAUUUUUGCAGGGAUGCAGGACCUGAUUUGAGGACCGCCAGUCUGAUGUUUCACGUUUACAUUCUCAAGCAUAAAUACCAGGUAAAUGAAGGUUAUGUCCAUGAAGAACAGCAGACUGUAUGCCCGCUGGCAAGAACUGUCGGGCCUUGAGCAGUUACUCCAGGUUUGGCUUCUCUCUUGCCAUAACAGCCUCAGCACCACACAGUGUGAGCUGGAAAAUAGUUGUUUACCACAAUAGCAGAAUGAAAAGGAUCCGUACGGUUAGGAUUUUCUCCAAACCACAAUUAAGCUUAUUAAAUAUGUAUAUAUCCAGUGAGCAAAAUCAUACAUUAUUUAUUUCUUCCUGUAUUAGUUGUUCAGCUCCAGCUUUUGGGGAGUGCUUUCUGUGCUCUAGGUUUCAGUAUCCCUACAGCCUUUGAUUUAGUGCCCUCUCCUGUUUGAUUGUGUGAGUGCAUGUUACCCUAUGGUUAAUUACUCUCAUUUAGCCCUCAGCGGAGAAUUGCAUUUCCAGAAACUACUGAAGAACUAAAGUAGCCUGACACAAGAAGAAGGAAGCCAGGAGAAAAGCAGUUUACAAGAAGGUCAUCUAGGAAAUCUCCGCAGACCUCUAGAACUGAGCAAAAAUAGUGUUUUGUCACAUCAUCAAAGCUUGAUGCUCAGGCACAAGAAGUCCCAGUUAAGAGGACCCCUGACAUGAAGCGUAUGCAUGAGUUAUUCUGAGACUACUACAUGUUUUUGAAAACUGGGAGAUGAUAAGCUUUGGAAAGCACACCACAGGUUGGGCUUCUGUUCUUCAUGCAUCACUUACCAUGGGCUAAUAUACCCCUUGUUGUCUGUUUGCCAUAUAUAUACCAGAGAAUCUCCAGAGGUGAAGGGGCAGUCAGCAAAUCCUACAGUGUUAGAAACCCUACAGCCAGGCACAGAAAUUAUAGCUUUUUUCUCACUGAGAAUUCGUGAAAAUUGCCAAAUAAGAAAUAGUACAAUUAAGAGUAUGCAUCCAUCAUAGAAUGUUUAAUCUACCAGAUAACUACAGACAGGCAUCCAACAAAUAGCAACCUAAGACUUUUAUUCUGGUAGCUCUGUCUACAAAAAUUCCUUUUAAUCACAGAGGCUUUAUCCUUUAAGUAGAGGGCUAUGGAAGGGCUUUGUGGUG